Molecule: ribosomal RNA, 765 nt
Filed under: Timbellus fulgens
Lineage: Eukaryota; Metazoa; Mollusca; Gastropoda; Neogastropoda; Muricidae
Description: Pterynotus fulgens partial 16S ribosomal RNA
Rfam family: Bacterial large subunit ribosomal RNA (bases 1-583)
Source: RNAcentral
GGCUCCUUGUWAAAAAUAAAUACCCAGUCGGACCUGCCCGGUGAAUUCUUUUUAACGGCCGCGGUACUCUGACCGUGCAAAGGUAGCAUAAUCAUUUGCCUUAUAAUUGAAGGCUUGUAUGAAUGGUUUGACAAGAAUAUAGCUGUCUCUUUAUAGUUAAUUAGAACUUUAUUUAUGGGUGAAGAAGCCCAUAUAACAUUGAAAGACAAGAAGACCCUAUCGAGCUUUAAAAAAGUUAACAAUAUAAAAAUAUAGUACGCCAUAAAAAUUAAUUGUUAGAAAUUUUGGUUGGGGCGACUGAGGAACAAAUAAAGCUUCCUUUUCUUCUUUAAAAACAAUCAAGUGGUGAUCCAAAAUAUUUGAUUAAAGAAAUUAGUUACCGUAGGGAUAACAGCAUUAUCUUUUUUGAGAGUUCCCAUCGAAAAAAAGGUUUGUGACCUCGAUGUUGGACCAGAAUAUCCUGAAGAUGCAGCCGUCUUCAAGGGUUGGUCUGUUCGACCAUUAAAAUUCUACGUGAUCUGAGUUCAGACCGGCGUGAGCCAGGUCAGUUUCUAUCUUCAAUUUUUAUAAUAAAUUUAGUACGAAAGGACCAGUUUAUUGCAAAAUAAUUGCUUAUUCUGAAGGAAUAUAACGAAACAUUAAAUCCAGAAAUAAAGCUAAAGAUCAAAUUAGCAAAGACUAAUGCAAUUGAUUUAGGAUCAAUAGACACAGGUGAAAUCCCUUUAUUUGAUAGGGCUAUCACUAGCAUAAAGAUGGCAGAACAAA